Molecule: long non-coding RNA, 8187 nt
Filed under: Coffea arabica (coffee)
Lineage: Eukaryota; Viridiplantae; Streptophyta; Magnoliopsida; Gentianales; Rubiaceae
Description: long non-coding RNA (CARA_LNC000783)
Source: RNAcentral
GGACGGGGCCUCUGCAGGAUUCCAGGAAGCAUAUCACUGUAUUGUGAAAAUCCAUGUUUGAAAAUUCUUAAAAACGCCAACUUUUUUUGUUUCUUGGGAGAUUAUAGAUUGGGCGCUCCAAUUAUAAGCAGAACUGUUCUCCUCUUAAACCUGCGAUCAGAUGACCUCUUGUCAAUUUGAUAAGGUUACUUGUGCGUCAUAGCAAAAGCAGGAGGAAAAGAAAAGACUGUCAAUUAUGGAAAUGCAAGGACAUCCACUAAUCAGAUCAAUUCUAGACUGUCAAUUAUGCUUUUUCUCAAGAUCAGUGUAGUAGAAUAUUGCAAUAAUUGCUCUCUCCAUUUAUGAUUAAGUUAAUUGAAUUAAAGUUAAAAAGGGGACAAUCCCACGACACGCACGACGGUAAUAUUAAAGAAUUAGUAGCUUUUAGUAAGAUCACAUAUUAUUGAUAAAAAUGGAUCUGCUGCUGUAGAAGUAGAACAGAGGACAGGAUGAAAAAAGACAAACAAAAUGGAGCUUUGGAAACCUCUGGCCCAGGUCCCCAUACAGUAAGUACUCCUAUCAGAAUAAGCAAUACAUGAAAUACAUACAUAUAUAAUAAUCUGACAGCAGUCGUAGAUUUCUUUUUGUUGAGAAUCGAAGGACGCUGGAUUAAAUCGCAAAAGACAAGUGAGUGACAACACAUCAUAUCGUAUUGUACCUCUAGAAGAAGUGUCGGUGCUCCAGACUGAGUCCACAUUACUCUACUGGGAAAGUAGCAGUGGAGGAGGAGGAGUCCCCCAUUCCCAUUCCUUUCCUUCGCGAAGGGCUGCUGCAAACUGUGUAGCAUCUGAGGUUGUGACUCACAACUACUUCAAUCAAAUGCGACAAUAUCCCAAGGACACGUUACGAAAGCAGCAGCAGCAUUUCUAUUACAGUUUUGUAUUGUAUGUUGUUAGUGAGAAGUCCAUUUCACCAAGCAAAAAUCAUCUCGAGGACAGUGACAAAUUGUCAAUAUUAUAUUAAUUGAUUCUUUGUAUUGCUCCAAGUUUCGUAUGCACAACUCGAGAAAUCAAUCUUAAACUAUGGUCUCGAUUGUUUGAUGAUUUUCUUUUCCCUCUACGUCUAUUCUGUUACAAUUUUUUUUUUUUUUUUUUACAACGAUAGAAUUUUUAUAACCUAAUCUAAAGAAAAAAAAAAGAAAAUUCGAUGUGAAUAGAGAUUCCAUCGAAAAAGGUCAAUUAAAACCGCCAUAUAUAAUAACAAAUUGAUGAGAAAAAAUAGUUGAACCUUGAACUCCCAUAUCAUCACGCCAAAGGUCCGGUGGCAUUCUAUUCUCUUGCAUUCUAUGCUCGUUUUUUUUUCAAACAAUGGCUUAGAAUUUUAUGGUAAGAGAAGGCAAGAAGCAUUAAGAUGGGAGAGCAGCUUAAUGAGCAAAUGUUAUGUGAAGAACUUACAUAUGGACUUUUUAAUUCCACAAAUUAAAGAACGGAGUACAAUUGUUAUUAUUGCUACUGUUAUAUCCCAUAAUAAUGACAAAGAUAAUGACCGUUAUUGUGAAACUAUCACGUGAGGUGCACACAUACGUGGAUCCAAGUUUUAAGUAAUAUUAGUUGUAUUAUUAUUGCAAUGAAAAGAACAUAAAAAGUUUAGUAUAUUCCAACCUUUUAAAUCAUUGUUCUUUAUGAAUUGAGAGCGACCAUCAAUCAUGAUGAAUCAAUGUGAGACUAGAACGGCCAUCUCAUUUGGUGGUGGUGUCCUUUUUGAAUUUGCACCAUUUGUUAUAUCAGACAAUAAUAUAUGUUUCAUUUUUGCAGUCGCUUUCACAAUAAUGAAAAUUCGGUUUCACUUUUGAAUUUCAUAAAACCAAACCCAUACCCUUUUCUUCAUCAUAUUUUAGAGUGGGUAUUUAAUUACCCCCCCCCCCCUCCUUCCCCCUCCCCACCACCAAAAAAAAAAAAAAAAGACUUUGAAUGCAAAGUAUGUUGAACAAUAAUGAUUUGGUAGAUUGAGGGCGAAAUGCUUAUAAAAGACGCCAUUGACUAUAUAGGUUAAAUUUUCACCAUCAAGCAUCUUCUUAAUUUUAGGACCUUGUUUGGAUUGCUGGUUUUCGUCGAAAAAUUACGUCGCUUUCCGUGAUUACUGGUCUGUUUGGAUUGGACUUUAUUUCCCCAAAUUUAUUUGCUUACAUCAUCAUUACAAUUUUCAAUACACCUUUUUACCUUCCCAAUUACCUUUUUAUCUCACAUACAUCAUAUUACAAAAAGUGCUACAGUAAAAAUAUCUCUAAUAAUUCACAAUCCAAACAGAUCUGUAACAUUUCCCUAUUACCUUUUUCCCUCAAAUACAUCAAAUAGCUAUAGUAUUUUUUCCAUGAAAAAUCACGGAAAAUGCAAUCCAAACACAACCUUACAUUUCUUGAAAGUUAUACCUGUGAUGGAUAGAUCAUAGUCGAAAAUGCAUUUGUUUCUUGACUGAGAAAAAAGUUGCCAGGAUUUUCAAACUUGAUGCCUUAUAUUUGACGUAUAAUGAAUUCGACACUACCAACUAAUGGUUUUAACGCUAACAAUUAGUACCUCAAAGAUAAAGCUGGAUGACUGAUUUCGACGCUAACAUAAAUUGCAUGCAUGAUACCCUUACAUGCAAAAUUUGAAGGACAAUAAACAAACUUCAAAAAAUUGUAAAACAAAAUAGAAUUCCAAAUUCCAUUUCCAUCACGAUGGUUUUUUUUUUUAAAAAUCUUUUUGGUGAUAUGUGGGGCCUUGGAAAAAAAUCUUGAAGGACAACAAACAAACAGCGGACCGAAAGUUGUGAAGGUGAGGCCCUGUCCCGUUAACUAAUCAGAGCCAAGGCAGUGAGCUAACACAGUCACAGCCGGUGAAAGUAAGGUACUCACAGUCCCAAAGGAGGAAAUCAUCAGGGACAGACGACUGACGUGGCGAGAAAAACCCACCGCUAUCGUUGACCUCCAAUCUCGGGCGAGACUGUCGGUAAUCUCGUUCCACGAACUGACCCACAGAGAAAAAAAAAAUAAAUUUUUGUUGUUUUCUUUUUCAAUUUUAAAAUUUUUUUUCAAUUUUUGAUACAGCCCCUUGAUUAUCAAUUUUUUGAGACAGACCCAUAAAAUUUUGCUUAUGCAUUCAGAUUCACCACAUAGUCUUCCUUCUUCUCGCGUUUGUAACAUUUUGCAGUCAUUUCGUUUUCUGUCAUAAGAGAAAAAUAUAAUUUUGGUACGGGGACUAGUCUAGUCACCAAAGUUCGGUCCAAAGUAAAUCCACUCUCUAAUGUUUCUAGUUUGGAAUACAUUUAGGAUCAUGACACGAUUUUUAUUUUUUUUUAAAGGAUGGAGAAAGAAACAACUUGGUGUAACAUUAAUUUUAUCCUCGUGGUCGUAACAUUUUGCAGUCAUGUUAUUUUUCCUUGUAUAGUUUCCUUAUAAAUAGUCAAGUCAAUAAAAUUUCGUUUAGUUGACUAGUUGAUAAUGGUGAAAACAACAACUUUAAUUACCAUAAUUAUUUCUCCAUUUGAACCAAAAACACAGGAGGAUUCAGAUAAAGGUUAAAAAAAAAGUACGGAUCGGGUAUAAGAAUUUAUUGGAUCCUAAUUCCCAUUUCCCUCUUAGGUUGCACGUGCAAAUCAAACAUAUAGGGAAGCUUAUCUAAUUGUUACCAAAAAUAAUUAUUAUAUUAUAUAUUGACGUGGUUGCAGUUGCAUUAUUGUGUUAGAUGAUUUUUGUGGGCUCCAUUUUCCUUUUACUAAGCUAUAGAUGUCUUGUGAGACAAGAAAUGAGGAGCUUUCUCAAAAUACUACUAAAUUUGAAGUAUAUAGCAUGCUACCAGAAAUUCUACGUUCUUUCCCAUUCUUUCUUUCUUCUUGUGAAAAAGAAGAAAAGUAGUAGUGGUAGUAGUAGUAAGAGUAAUAAUUAAUAAGAAUUUGAGACCACACACAUGAAUUCUUGAAUUUGUAGUAUUGGCAUCUUCCUAGUUCCAACUUCCAAGUUCCUACCCACCAUCACCAACACCAACACCAACACCAACACCAACAAAAAAUAGCAAUCGAGCCACGAACCAGCAAAAUCUUAGCUGGAAGCAUAUGAGCCUUGUCAACCCUGGCCUAUUUUUUUAAAGUAAUUGUUACCCAACUCAUAUAAUAUACUUCUUCUACUCAAAAAACUACACUGCACUAUUGCUCCUCCACUCCCGUAGCCUGGACGACGGACUUGUGAGUUGUGAUGCGAUCCCAGCUUCUUCUUCCGCUUUCUGCUACUGUUCUAAUUUUCACCUUUUUCCUUCCCGCACUCUCCUCUCCUCAUCGGUCAUUUCACCUGCCCUUCCAUCACCAUCAUCAUCAUUUCAUGCUCAUGCAGAUGUUGUUAAUGUUUUAGUACUAAUAACCUACUCUCUCUCUCUCUCCUCUCGUCACUCUCUCUCUCUCUCUCUCUCUUACUCUCACACCCAGUACUACCACCGAUCUCCACAGUCCCCACUAGCCAAAAAGGCAUCCGCCCAUCCUGCUCCAGCUAGAUAUCCUCCCUCCCCCCUCCUGCAUUUACUCUUCCUCAUCUCCUCAGCCCAAAAUUAUGCCUCCCUUAUCCCUCCUCCUCCUCCUCUCUCUCUUCUCCUCCUGCUCAACUUUUCCAUUGUCCUCACAUAUUAUUGCCACCACCGCACCUGCCACCCACAACCGCCGCAUCCUUCACCAACCCUUUCUCCCGCAAGGCUCGCUCCCACCGUCACAGCCUCCUAACCCUUCACCCCCCGCCCCCGCUACCCCCAAAUACCCGUUCUCUUCCACUUCCAAUUCCCCCAACAACACCCCAUUCUUCCCAUCCGUCCCCUCCCCUCCUCCGCCGCCUUCUCCAGCCUCCUACGCCUCCUUCCCUGCUAACAUCUCCUCCCUCAUCCUCCCUCAGCCUUCCAAGUCCAAACCUGCCUCCUCCAAGCUCAUCGCCGCCGCCAUCGCAGCCGUGGUCGCUGCCGCCAUUGUUGUCUCCCUCGCCGUCUUUUUGCACCUCCGCCGGAAAAGAAACCGCCGAGCUUCUAGCGAUGCUAAGACCCAUAGAUCCGACAACAGCACUCGAUUCCACUACCCCAAUGCCACUUAUUCCGCCAACGGAAGCGUCCCCAAGCUCCAGAGGCCAUCACAGACGAGCUCCGAGUUCCUCUAUCUGGGUACCUUGGUAAAUUCGCAUGGGGCCAUUGGUAAUACUAGUCCGCAGCAAAAUGCGCGCAGCAGUACUGCUGAUAGGAGUACUGCCAAUUCCAGAAAGCUGGACUCGCCGGAGCUACGGCCAUUGCCGCCGCUUAGUGGCCAGCAGAAUGCAAGCCGAAACCACAAAAAUGCCGAAGUGGGGUCCGCUGGGGACGAAGAAGAUGAAGAGUUUUACUCUCCUAGAGGGUCUUUAGGGGGCAGGGACAGCUCGAUCGGCACUGGAUCGGCAUCCAGGAGGGCAUUUGCUGCUGUAGAAGUGGAGAAUUUUGGUCGGUCGAGCUCUGCUUCGUACUCUUCUUCUAGUUCUGCCUCGGGCUCGCCGGUGAGGUCCGUUUCACUCAGCAUUUCGCCUCCAGUGAGUUUGAGUCCGAAAGCCUCGAGGCCCAAGUCGCCAGAGUUGGUUGCUCUUCAGACUGCGCCUUCCCCGCGGGCUCCACCACCUCCGCCAGCACCCCCGAUAUCGUUUUUCAAUGCCCCUUUUGUUGACCAAAGACUAUCGGCAUCGGCAUCGACAUCGCCGUCUCUGUCGCGAUCUCCGUCGCCUCCUAGUUCAUCAUCGCCCGAAAGAGUUUAUAGUCGAAGCAGGGAGACUUCCCCUAGAAUCUCAAACGUAUCCGAUCAGAAUUUGGAGUCUCCAGUGAUUAUUUGCAGUCCUGCUCAGCAAGCUACGCCUGUUUCCAUUCCAUCACCGCCUUCAACUGUUUCAGCCCCACCACCUCCUCCGCCGCCGCCUCCCACUGUUUCAAUCCCACCGCCUCCGCCGCCUCCACCGCCAAUUAAACACUGGGAAAGUCCCGCAACACCUUCGGCGGCAGCCAUUAGGAUAUUAACCGAACCACCAGCUAUAAUAACACCUUUAAGGCCUUUAUCUAUGCAGAACCCAACAGUAAUUUCACCUAUGCAACUGCCAUCAAAUUUGGAGGCUGUUGAAAAGACUGAGGAGACCAUCGAAACCCAGGGGCGUCCUGUUACUGAGAAUGUUGUGAAAGAUGAGGAAAAAAAUGAAGAGACCCCUAAACCAAAAUUGAAGCCAUUGCAUUGGGAUAAAGUCAGAGCAAGUUCUGAUCGCGAAAUGGUGUGGGAUCAACUGAAGUCCAGCUCAUUCAAGUAUGAUGACAUUCAAUCCUUAAAAAAGAGUGGUUUUGGCACAGUUUUUUUUUUUUUUUUUGGGUGGUAAUCUUGCAUAUCAAGUGAACAGACUGAAUUGGGUUCAAUGCAGGUUGGACGAAGAGAUGAUUGAGACAUUGUUUGUUGUGAAAACUCCAACUCAAGUUCCCAAGGAAACAACUCGAAGGCCAAUCCUUCCCUCACCAAGCCAAGAAAAUAGAGUGCUUGAUCCCAAGAAGUCGCAGAAUAUUGCCAUUUUACUGAGGGCCCUCAAUGUGACGGUAGAUGAAGUUUGUGAAGCUCUCAUUGAAGGUAAUCUUUUUCAUUUUCUGCGAACUUACGAAAUUGUGCAAAUUGUUGUUGACGCUGUUUCUUGCGUAAUUUCAUUUAAGUCAUGCACGAUAGAGCUUACCAGUUGAAAUAGCUUAAUUUAUAGAACGCAUAAUUACAAGAUGUAUUUCUGCUAACGCUUAUUUUUCAAUAGGCAGGUUUAAACGAAAAAGGUUUGUGGUUUUCUGUAUAUUGACGACCAUUACUUGUAUGGUUGAUUGGUUUGUUUGAACUCUUGUUGUAAUUAGAUGUCUUAGCAUUGCUUCUUAUUAUUUGCGGACUUAGCUGCUGCCCAUCAAAUGCUUCUGCGUCUUUGUCUUGCUCCUCAUUAUUCUGGUAAUUUGUGGUUACCACUUAGCAUGACCUUGAGAAUGGUCAUCUUCUUUUCCAGUGAUGUAGUGAAAAGUCUAUUAGUUGUUUCUGUCUGUGUUGCUCCAGUUUAUGUAUGUCAAUUUUCUAUCAAUAGUUUGUUUAUUUACUUUUUUACAUCUAAUGUCACCCUAUUAGCUGAAAUGCAGUUAUCUUAUUUUACAUAGUUUAAAGCCAUCUGGUAAUCACAAUGCUCAUAAUCCCUUAAAACUUCUACACAGGCAAUGCAGAUAAUCUUGGAACUGAACUCCUUGAGAGUUUAUUGAAGAUGGCUCCAACAAAAGAAGAGGAACGUAAGCUGAAAGAGUAUAAAGAUGAUUCUCCAUUUAAGCUUGGGCCAGCUGAAAAAUUUUUGAGGGCAGUGCUGGAUGUUCCUUUCGCAUUUAAAAGAGUGGAUGCAAUGCUCUACAUCUCAAGCUUUGACUCUGAGAUUGAGUACCUAAAAAGGUCAUUUGACACUUUAGAGGUAAUUUUACAUCAUUAUUGGCCUUUUGUGUAUUGAAAUUGCUUGCAAAUUCUGCCAAGUUUAAACCAAAGUGAAAUUAUCCGAUCUGAUUCUGUUGACAAAAGUUGAGGAAGCAAUAAUCUUGCACCAAAAAUGUUACUGAUAAUACAAAACAAAGAAUUAAAGUUGAUUUACGUAUCACAUUUUUUUUUAAUUUCUAUUGCUCUUGCAUUCUGUAUCUGUGAAGCUUUUUGAUGUUUGAAACCUAAAAUUACAUGGAAGCCACCUCUUAGCUAAGCUCCUUCCAACCUCUUUGAUGGAAAUUUUUAAAUUUUAAUAUCAGGGAGAAUCUGUACAUGCUGUCUGCAAUCAGACAUAACUACUGUAAAACAUUGAUCUUAAAUACCUUUAUGAAUAUUAGAUAUACUCAUUUAACACCUGUUAAUCCGUUGAAUGUUUGAAAAUUUCAAACAGGUUUUGUCUCUGACUUUGAGCGGGCAAACUUACCAGGGUAGUUCCAAUGUGUUUAGUUAAUUCAGCAAUUCAGGUCAAUCUAAUGCAUGUUAAGAUUAUUGUUGCUCGAGACAAGAUUGAUGGAAAUAUCUGAAAUUAUAAAAGCACCAGCUGCGAAAUGGAUAUUGUCCAUCUCUCAUCUCUUUAGGAGCUUUCUCAGAGUUAGAUCAACAAAAUCAAGCUUCUGAUUCUUUGCAUUCAUAUGAGCCAAGUCCUUAACAUUGUUGUAACUCUGC